RNAcentral lists this long non-coding RNA (12197 nucleotides) under Gossypium raimondii (Peruvian cotton). RNAcentral describes it as "long non-coding RNA (GRAI_LNC005828)". The record is from RNAcentral. Lineage: Eukaryota; Viridiplantae; Streptophyta; Magnoliopsida; Malvales; Malvaceae.
AGCAGGGGGGAACAUCUGCUAGGGUUUUUUCUUUAACCCAACCCCCCUGCAAAGCCACCACAACCUCCACAGCGGAUCUGAGGCCCCUCUCCGACUCCGAUUCGGGUAACAAGCAGGGUUCCUUCCUCGCAGGUAAGUAUACUCUCUCUCUUUUCUUUUCGUUUAUUGUUUAUUUUAAGAAACAAGUAGGAAAAUAAAAGAGUAAAAAAAAGUAAAAAAAAAGGAAAAAAACGGAGCAAAUUUUCACCUUCAAAAAUUGUUUUCUCUUUUUGAUUCUUUGUUUUUCAGUAUUCUUUUCAAUCCAACAUCCAUCCCCCCCCCUUUUCUUUUCUUUACAAUUGGUUUAUAUAACCGAAAAUAAAAAAUAAAAUACAAAAUAAUAAAAUAUUUUCUGUUAUUCCUAUUAUUUCGUUGUUGCUUGUUUCCGUUUGUUGCUGCAGGCAUGGCUAAAGGCGUGCGGAGCGACGUUUUCGGAGGUGCGCAAAAGGGCAGCAGUUGCGGCGCCAGUUUGCUGCCACUGCUUAGGGUUUUCUGCUCUUUGAGAAUUUUGGGCUAGGUUUAGUGGGCUGGGCAUGUUUGGGUCUAUUUAUUUUCUUGGGCCCGGGCAUAUUUGGGCUUGUACAACUACUAUUUUGCCUUAAUCGAUAGACAAUUUUUAAUUUUUAAAAUAUAUAUUGUGAAUUAUGUUUCACAAAAUUUAUAAUUGAACUAAAUAUAUAUUGUUGUUAAUGUACGAAUGUGUAGGUUUGAGUGUACUGAAAUUUAUUAUUCUCCUAUUUAUGGGUUAAAGAAAAAUUAUGAAUAAUUCUAGACAUUGUAUGAAAAAAAACAGAUAAUUAAAAAAAAUUCUGAUAUAAAAAUUUUAUCGUUCUUUUUCACUUAUAAAGAUGAAAAUAUAUAUAGUAAAUAUCAAAUUAGUUAUAGGUUUUUUUACUCAAAGUUUAGUUAAUUUAAAGAUGUUCACCAUAAUUUACCUUCCAAUUUUACUUAUUAAAUUGAUCACAGGAUCAAAAUUAAUUUUUUAUGGAGGUACAAAUAUGGGAACUAGUUGUUCUAUAUGGUAGCUAGAUAUGCAAAUACAAUGCAAAAUUCAAUUUCAAAACAACUCAAAUGGAAUGUAUGCAUGCAAAUAUAGAAACCUAUUAAAGUUUCCAUAUAUAUAUUUAUACUUUUAUGGCUUACGCCAUUCUCUUUCAUUUUGGUUCAUCAGGAAUCCAUCAUUUCCCCCACUCAAAUAUUAGCAUAAACAAAACCAGUCUUCAUUUUUCUUUUUCAUUUUUUAUGCCUUUUCCACUAUAUAUAUAUAUAUAUAUAUAUGUACAUACAUCCAAAAGGUUAUGUUUGGAGUCAUAUAGUGUGUAAACUAUGUUAGAGUUUGUAUGGAACAAUGGAGUUCAUAGGUUUCUCUCUAAAAGUCAAAGGUUCUUAUUCUUCUUCUUCUUCUUCUCACUUAUAUUUUGUUCAUUUUGAGCAUAUAGUCAUGGGAAUGAGCGUGUUUGCUUUCUGAUUGUUUUUUUACUAGGAAAGAUAUAUAGUCUAUGAUAUAGUUUUUGUUUCUCUUUCAAAGUUUGCAUGGGGAUAUUAAUACAAGAUGUAUCUUUAUCAGAGUGAUAUUGGCAGUAGCCAUGAUUGGAAGUCUGGGAGCUUUGAUUAUCUUGGUGGAUCCUGCUGGUGUUCGUCAGCCUCAUCGGAUUCUGGUCGAUACAGAUGUUGAUACCGACGACGUUUUUGCUCUCUUUUAUCUUUUGAAGCAGGACACGACGCGAUUCGACUUGCAGGUAAUACCCUUUAGAGCCGAUCGGUACCCAAAGAGGAUAAUACCUUCAUAUCCUGCAAACUCUCUUUAGAAUGAUCAACAUCAAACUGCAGUACAUGGUUGCUAUUGUUUAUUCACAACAGUUCCCUCUCUCUUUGAAUAGCAACAUCAGUCAUCUUUAAAGCAAUUGACUAUAUGAUUAAUCCUUGUUUAUCAUUAAAGAUAAAAAGUCUAAAAGUGGCUGCAUGCUUAUCUAACACUAAUAGUCCAUUAUAUACUUUUAAGAUUUGAUGGAAAUGCUAAUAUAUAAAUAUAACUGAGUGGCUAAAAACCAAGUCAACAUUUGGUGAAGUUGCCAUUUCCUUAAACAAACAAUUACUUUAUUGUAAAAUAUAACCAUUUCCAAUGGGGGUUAUCAUUUGGCAGGCAAUUACAGUGAAUGCAAAUGGAUGGAGUGAAGCAGGGCAUGCCAUUAAUCAUAUAUACGAUAUUCUAUUCAUGAUGGGACGUGAUGAUAUUCCUGUGGGAGUUGGAGGUGAAGGUGGUAUUUUGCCCAAUGGCACUAUCCUUCCUAAUGUUGGUGGAUAUCAACCCAUUAUUGACCAGGUCCAGGAUCAUCUUUCAACCUUUUUGAUUAACCAAUAAAACCAUUCCAUGUCUCAUCAACAAGCUAUAUAGGAUGUAUAUAUAAAUAUAAUGGAACCCCAUUAUCAUAGGUAUAAUUAUGAGUGAUGAUUAAAUGAAGAAAAAGGAAGAUACUUUUAACAUUUUUUUGUGUGGCAGGGAAUGUCAACAGCUGGGGAAUGUAGAUAUAGGCAAGCAAUCCCUGUGGCACAUAGAGGGCGUCUUGAUGUCAAUUCUAACUAUGGCAUUAGGAAAGCUUUCCUUCCACAGGUCCCAUUUCUAGUUCUUGUCUAAAGGCUUAUUUCUAAAAGACACUCGAACAAGUUUAAAAAUGUUUUACCCCAUUUUUCAAAAAUUGUUGGACAUGAAACAAAGUUUUAGUUUCUGCAGAGACAAGUUCAAAUGUUGUCAAAUGUGUUGAGUUCAUUAAACUUGUUUCUCAAUGUGUUUCAAGUCCUAGUGACAGCUUUUUUUCUCCCUACAUGACAUAGGGUGGCAGGAGGUAUACUCCACUUAAGCAACCCACAGCACAACAAGUGAUGAUAGAUACAAUAUCUUCAGGUCCUACAACCGUGUUUCUCAUGGGAGCACAUACAAACUUUGCCAUCUUUCUUAUGACCAAUCCUCACUUGAAGAAAAAUGUUAAGCACAUUUAUGCAAUGGGAGGUUCGGUUAGAUCGAACUGUUUGAAGAAAGAUGGUUCUGGUAAUUCAAUCGAAUGUGCUGAUAUUGGUAAUCUGUAUCCACAAGAUAGCAAUCCAUAUGCUGAGUUCAAUAUAUUUUCAGAUCCUUUUGCUGCUUACAAGGUAUUCUUUUGGUUGUUUUCAUUUGAUAUUCAUGAAUUCAUUACUCUAUUCGGUAUUUGAAUCUUUUUCUUUUGAGCAGGUUUUGCAUUCUGGUAUCCCAUUUACACUUAUUCCUCUAGAUGCAACAAAUAGCAUUCCUGUAAGUAAGAGUUUCUUCAUGGAGUUUGAAAGGAGACAGGAUACGUACGAGGCAAAAUAUUGCUUCCAAGCUUUGAAGAUUAUUCGCUAUACCUGGUUGGGUGGUAUAUUUUAUGAGGUAAUGUCCCUUGAAUCCUUGUGAUUCAUUCUUCCCUUUUGCAGACAUCCAACUAAGUGACUGAUGAAAUGUUGGCAGCAAUAUUGUAUGUGGGACUCUUUUCUGGUUGGUGUAGCAUUAUCUACAAUGCGUAACUCUCACAAUCAUAAUGGAGAAAAUAAGUUUGCAGAGAUGCAAUAUAUGAACAUAACGGUCGUUACCUCAAAUAAACCUUAUGGAGCAUUAGAUGGCUCAAAUCCACUGAUUACAGGAUAUUCAAUCCCAAAGUUUAAUGUACACAAGAAUGGGGUUCAUAGUGGCCAUGUUCAAAUGGGAAUGCAAGAUCCCUUUUGCCUUCAGAAAGGAAAAGGGAAAUGUCAGGUAUUAUCAGUACACAGUAUAGCUGAUUUGAAAAAGUUUAGGGCUUAUAUGUACCGUUAAUUAUACAUGUAAGUUUUUAUCUAUAGGUUCUCUCACUGUAAGGAACUCAUCGUAUAUCUUUUAGAAAACAUAGCUUCUUUCAACCAUGAUAUUGAUUGUCUGACAGAACUAUACAAUGCUAACAGGAUGGUUACACGAAAGAAGAUACUGGAGAGGAUGCCGUGCGUGUUCUUGUUGCAGUGAAAGCUAAAGCCAGUCAUGAUAAGGGAAGCUCACUUGGAAGAGAAUUUUAUAGAAGUUUUCUCAAUGUAAGCUCUUAUUAAUAGUUUCUCAAUAACACCAAUUUUUGUUGUUUAAUUAAUUAAUUCACAGACAAGUAACCAGGAAAUGCUGUGGUAAUUUUUUGGAACCAAACUGUAGUUUCAUCCCUUCUGUUCAUUGUAGGUCAUAAAUAGCCCUGAGAGAAGUGGAAGGUUUGAUAUCAGAAGCCAAUAUCCAAACCACAAGGAGGCUCUUUAUAAACCAGAUUUCGGAAAGAAGAUGAGGGGAAAUCCAAUUGUUUUCGACAUGGAUAUGAGCGCCGGGGACUUUCUAGCUCUUUUAUAUCUCCUCAAGUUACCUGUGGAAUUAAUUAAUCUCAAGGUACUUUAAGCUGGACUGGGUUUACUAAGUCUAACUUCAAUACAGACUGCUGAUCUCAUGAGUUAAGCAUCUGCAACUUUAAAGUGAACAAAUAUGGCAAUGUUCUAUAAGUUUCAUUUAAGUAUUACCAAUAUUCAGGCCUUUUACAUGGAACAGGACACAUAACUAUCCCAAUUUUAUGGAUUCGCUGAAGUUCCUCAUGCUUGAUAUUUCUAUGUUCAACUAGGGAAUACUUAUCAGCUCAACAGGCUGGGCAACUCCUGCAACGAUUGAUGUUGUGUAUGAUAUAUUACAUAUGAUGGGCCGUGAUGACAUUCCGGUAGGUCUUGGUGAUGCAUUCGCAGUUGGUCAAGCCAAUCCAUCUUUCACUGCUAUUGGAGACUGCAAGUUUUCCAAAGCGAUCCCUCAUGGUAGUGGUGGUUACUUGGACUCCGACACGCUAUAUGGACUAGCUCGUGAUUUACCUCGAAGUCCAAGAAGGUAAAUCCCAGCCUUCAGAUUUGCAUUCUUAUAUGUGCAAUCUGUUGAAUGUUCAAACUUGAAAAUUCUCAUUUUAAAUCCUUUGACCCCUUCAUUUCCAGUUGUGUAAGGAUUAUCCCUGGAUAAAAACUGAUAAAAUUCCAAAUAAUACUAUGAUAAUAACAAUUAAAAAACCAUGAGCAGAACAAGUUAAAAUAUGUGGCUUACUGGCCCUCUAAUGACUUUUCAGAUAUACGGCAGCAAACUUUGUCAAGUAUGGAGCUCCUAGAGAUAUUGAGAAUCCCGAACUCAGGCAGCCAUCAGCUCAAGAUGUUUGGAAAUCUGUAGUGGAAAAUUUGGAUCCAGGAUCCAAGAUCACAAUAUUGACUAAUGGACCUUUGACAAAUUUAGCUCAGAUCCUUGGGUCGGAGAAUGCAAGCUCGGUGAUUCAGGUAAUGAUAUGAUAUCAGAGAUUUCAGUCUCCCUGCAAAUAAAAAUGCCUUGAAACCUGGACAAAAUGGUGACAUUGAUAACAUAUAUUUUCUGAUGCAGGGAGUAUACAUUGUUGGAGGACACAUAGGCAAUGUCUAUGACAAUAGCAAAGGAAAUCUUUUCACUGUUCCCUUGAAUAAAUAUGCAGAACUUAACAUGUUUCUUGAUCCAUUAGCUGCAAAGGAAGUUUUCACUUCAUCUCUGGGCAUCACACUUGUUCCACUGCAGAUGCAAAGAAGAGUUAGUUCCUUCAGCACCAUUCUUAGCAGGAUGAAUGCCACAACUCAGACUCCUGAACUUGUAUUUGCCCGACGUUUACUUUCGAGACUUUGGCAAUUACAACAGCAACAUUAUAGAUAUCAUCACAUGGUAAUUUAAGAAAACCUUCAAGCAUAUUUAUGAUGAGGUUUUAUGAGUUUCAGAUAUGAUAUAUAUAUUUUUGAAGAGAGGCUAAAAUCCUUGAAUACUUUCAAUGCAACUUAUGGAUGCCGAAGAACUUAGAUCAGAUUGAAACUACUUUGUGUCUUUGCAGGAUAUAUUUUUAGGAGAGAUCCUUGGUGCAGUAACCUUGACUGGAAAUCCACAUCUGAACCAGACAUUUACGUCCAAGCCUCUUAAGGUCUUGGCAGAUGGAGACAUUGCAGUGAUAGGAGAGAUAACCAUUGAUGAAGAACAAGGGAAACAAGUGAAGGUUUUGGAAAAUAUUAAUUCACAGGCAUACUAUGACCAUUUCACUAGGGUCUUAGGUGAUCACAGACAAUCUGCUGUGCUUGCAAGCUUUCAUGAGCAGGAAAGACUGUGGACGUCACGACCAGAAAGUAUAAAUAUCGGCCAUAAUCAGAAGUUGUAAAUGUUUGUUGUAAAUUUAGCCAUUGCUUUCAACAGUUUUGACAUCUUUCUGAAGCAGUUUCUUCUACAUAGUGCGUAUGAGCUUAGCAGCAGACGAAGUAUAGGAAAAGUUACAAGAAUUUUCUCUUUCAUUGCUGCUAUUUAUUACUUUUUUCCCUGUGCUUGAGCUACUAGCUCCAUCAAUUCAUCAUCAGAUCCACCCUGCAGUUCAAUGUAAAUAUAUUUCAUUGUCAUGUUCUUACCUACAAAUAUUAUAUGUACAUUAAACAAAGAUGCAUGCUCCAUUAUGAGUAUGUAAAUAGCAUACCCCUUUUUAGUAGUGAGAUCAUCAGAUUGCAAUUAAUCAUUUGCUAAUCAUUCAGAAUCUAUAGAAGUUAUUGUCUCUAUAUAUUUGGGACAAUCAAGAGAAUGUUGUGGAAGUUGGAUUUUUGGGAAGUGCUUUUGCCAAUGCUGCCUCCAUAAACCUUUGCAUUAUCCUUCAAAGACAGAUUAUUUAGUGAUCAUAGAAUAAUUAGAGCAAUGAAUAUCUGACCAAGCAUAGCUCCUGUUAGUAUUAUUAUUAAGCAAACAAAAUAACAUUGCAGCAUAUAGUGGUACCCUUCCCCUAUCAAGGCACUUGUCUCGAAGGACAGAACCGUGAUGAUGGUCUUUACCUUCGAAGUGAACAACACAUCACACUGGACACAGAUAAAAAAACUCCUUGUAUCAACAUUUAAUAUUAUUAGGUCAGACAAUUGGUCCACAUUUCAGCUCUUUGCACUUAACAUCAUGAUCUGGUGUGAUGAUUUAGACACGUUCUAACCUUUAGGUUGCAUAAGAAACAUUUUAUGCUCCCUGGUUCUUCAACAUAAAUUAUACAGAGUCAUGUCUUUGAAGUUCCAAUGUCUGCGUGGUUGUAUAUGACACCAUGGCAGUGCAUGAACAAUGCAUACAUAAGCCCUGCACUUGGAUUCCUCUGUCCUUUCUAUUACUUAAAAUAUUAGCCUUAUGCAACAUAAAGUGGAAUCCCCCAGCUGGAAGGUUUUCUUCUUUUCUUUACAGGGUCAGGGUGGGGGUUGUGAAAUUAUUACUUUUGCAUUAAUGAGAAAUUGGCCAUUCCUCACUUUUUUUCUAUAAUUUCUUUUUAUGUUAUCUGGAUUAUUUGUUUAACCUAAACUAUCUUUUAUGUAUGGGCAUGAUCCUUUAGAUACAUGAAAAAUUCGAGCAUACAUGCUCAUAGUGCAGGUAACAUUCUAGAGCCUCUUACUGGUACAGUGAUAUAUUACAUAUGGAUCUGAAACCAUGAAAAACGUUGAAGAAGAUGGUCGGUGACUUGGGUGGGUGAUAAUGAUAUCGAUUCUUAUAAAAUACUAUGAAAAGAUGAAAGGAAUUUAUUUGAUGCUCUGUCAUUACAGCAUAUGUUUUGGCUUUACUUGCAAGAUUACCACCAAACUAAUUAAGGGGGGACAUCCACUCAUGUGAAAAAAAAUAGUUUUGACCACAUAAAAUAAUCAUGUUCGAUGAAUGUGAUAGAAGACAGGCCAGUACUGAAAUGGUGAUUAUAAAAACAUUUUGAGACUUUAUAAGAGAGAAAAUCACCCCAACAAAACGUGGGGUUUCUACUUCAUUUUCAAUGCCUAAAAUGCAACAGUAACAACUACUUUAUAAAUCAUUAAUUAAAGAACGUCAAAUAUGGGAUCCUGUCUGUACCUGUGAAUGGUCGGUGAUAAUGUUUAUUUUGCCAAAGCAUUUGUUUUUGUCUUUUGAAUAUCUCCAUCUACAUGCAUAUAGUGGUUGAACUCAUUCAACCAAAAAUUGUUGCAUGUGCAUUCAUUUUAGCCAGUUAUUCAACAGUUUAACACGUAUUGUUGAUAAGAAUAGUUGUUUCAACAAAAUCAUGAGGAAUCUCAACUCCUUGAGUUUGGUUGCAAAUUGUUAUUCACAACUAAGAGUAGUUGUUGGAUUAAUCUAAUUGAUUCAUUAAUUAACAAGCCAACCCUUUUAGUUCUUUUACCAAAUUGCUGGUAUGGCCUCGUUUUUGUCUAAAAUGCAGAUGAUAAAGAUGAAAGUUCACUUCUUUUGCUAAACUGACUGUCCUAGACAUGUCUGAACCAUGUUUUUAAGGUUUAGGGAGGAUAAAGCUGAGUAGUUUCUGAUAUAUUAGUACAGACAUUAAAGAGGUCACUUCAGAGACAUGCCAAAAUGAAACAAAAGAAGUCCAGAUUUUCUGAGGCACGGUUUCUGUUGUAAAUGUAGUUCCUUUUAAUGGAAAAUGACUGCAAUCUAGUUUGGUAAAUUGCCCUUUCCAGAUCUCAUUAAACAUCUGUAGUCCUUUGCUCCAGAGGAUGGAAGAUUCCUGAUAAGAUUUUGUUUCAUUUCUCCAUAUGUUGUUUUUAAACAGAUACAUAAUUAAUGGAGUAUGAAAUUGAAUGAUCCAAAAUCAGGAAAGAAAAAGCAGUGUAAAGGAAAGAGCUGGAAGGGUUUUAUUCACAUUCUUUGUCAUUGCUCAUACACUGAAGAUAUGAUACAAGCUUAAGCUCGAAAGUAGAUAGACCCCCUUCAGUAGCUUAGUUACCCUACUAAAACUGCAAUAAUUGAAAACCAACGAAGAUAAAAGAAAAUAACUUUUUCUACAUUGCCAAAAUAUCAUUUUUGGUCCCUUGUUUUUUCUCUGCAAAUGAUUUUUAGGUCUCUUUUUGAAGCCAAACUAUUACAUCGGAAAUGAGCCUCCAGCAGUCAAGAUCUGCUGUUCAAGCUGCAGUCCAUGAAAUGGAAAAAUCAAUCCUUGAAGUUAACAAAGAAUUCAGGGUAAAACCUAUUUGGAAAGAAAGAAAAUCUCUCUUCUACAAGGCAACCUUACCUGGAACAAAGAUUCAAGCUUGGUUUUCACAAGCGAAUACUCAUGCCUCACUUGUUGCAGACAUUUAAGACACCUAUGUAACACAUAAAAAUUUCAAACUUCUCAUAACUUUUAGCUGCAAAUGCAAUAAAAUGUAAUGAUUUAAGGCAUAAAAUGGACUCACCCUUCGACGUUCUGCUCCUCGCAGUAGUUGCGGAAGGCUAUGCAGACUUUCUGAACUCUCUGAGCGCCAAUGCUGUUAAUUUGACAACAUUUUACCAUGAAAAAUUAAACAUAAAUAUGAACAACAACAAGAGAUAGGAGAAAGCUAUACAAUUAAUGGACUUCCUUCAUGUGGGACAUGAAAAAUUGAUGACCAUAAAAUACAAAUUUCAAAAGUACAGAUUUUUAUUGCAACAUUACAAAUGUUACAGUUGAGUAUCAGUAUAAACUCUGUGAAAGUGAAUUUGCAGUUUGGAACUGAUUUUUUUCAGUGACAAACUUUGCCAUAUGUUGGUACAAAGUUAACCAUUGAAAAAAAAACAUGUUUACUGAACAAGCGAUGCAUAAGUUUUCCCAUGAUCUCAUGUGAAGCUAAAAAAAGUCACUGAGGUUAAAAAUUUAGAGAAAAAUACCUGGAGCUACUACCUUUCAACUGGUGAACAUGAGCAUCAAUCCUUUUGUAAUCUAUGUUCUGCUGCUCUCUAUAUUAAGAUCACAAAGCAAAAACCAAACCACAUUAAGAAAAUGUAUGGAGAGACAUGGAUAGUUCAGUUUACAACAAAAGGAAUUGUUUAAAAAUGGUUAAACCCUCACAGAGCUCUAGCCAGUUCAUUGAGAAGUCUUUCAGAAUCUUCAAAGAAAAGAGACACCACUUCAACCACAAAAUCUGGGUUGUUUUCAUCUUGAAGUUCUUGAAGUUGGGUGAAUUGUUCAUCCAGAAAACCCUACUCAUUAAACAAUAAAACUAAUCACUCAAAAAUCUAACAUCAAAAACCAAAAAAGCUGAAAGCAAAAUAAAAUAAAGUAAAAUAAAAUAAAAGCUAACCUCAUGAUAGAGUGAGGUUUUGUAGUCAACAAACUGCCUUUGCAACUGAACCAAAUCCAUUGGAGCUUGCUUUUAAGUUAUAUUUUCCCACUUGCAGAUCUUAUAGGAACUAGAUCAUAUUCUUCUUCCCUUUAAAAAAUGAAUGGAAAGCUGAGCCUGAAAUAAAUGGAUGAUAUUAUAGUGUUAGGAGCCCAAGAAUCUUGCCCUUGAAAGUGGACUAUAAAUAACAAAGGUAUAUGUAAAGUCACCACCUUCUCUCUCUCUCCCUUUUUCCUAUUGGUUUUUUUAAUCCCGUUCUCCUCUGGGUUUGUGUUUACGACUUCUUUCCCUAGUCUAUAUUUUAACCCCAUCAUGUAUGCAAGUUGAAAAAACUCUGAUAUAUAAUAAAAAGGCAUCACAAGAUCCAAAACUUGAUGCCAUGAAUUCACCCUCACCACCUUUUUCUUUCAGUAAUUAUUGCUCUUUUCUUUCUCUCUCCCUCCCAUCAUUUUCUUUCAAUUUGUUUAUUAUUAUUUUGUUUUUCUUAUGCAAAGUGCCAACCAGCCUAAAGGAUAUGGUAUUACCAUUACUGCCAACACCCCCCCAAUUUCAGUUCUAGAUAAUUUAUUCCACUGUCACCAGCAUUAGAGUCCAAGGUUUUAAUUAUGGCACCAGCAGUAGAAACAAAACAUUUUCUUUCACAAUUUCUCGUUGGGAUUCAUUAGUGGAAACUGUGUUCAGAAAAAAAUAUACAAUUAUUGGAACCAAAUAAAAAAAACCCUAUUAACCAUUUUACAAGAACUCAAAAAAAAAAAAACCCACACUUUUCAGGCCAUAUUUGGAAGAAAGUGAUGUGAAAACCAUGUUACAGCUUUGCAUGAGAGAUAUUUUGUUUUCUUUUGGCUCAUAUUUUGUCGCUUCUAAAACCAAAAAAUAAUAAAAAAGGGUGAUGAUGUUAUUUAAUCCCUUCAAUAAGAAAACAUUAACAUUUUAAAUUUAACAAAUCAAAGAUAAUUGUUAUUACUGAAGCAUAUCCAUUUCUAUCUUACCUACUCCUGUUUUUCAAGUUUCUUGCCCUUUUCCUUUUCCCCUUAUCCCUUCAUAUAUUAUGCUGUCAAUCUUUUCAAGAAUCUUAUCAUGCCACAGUUGUUGAAAGCUACCUUGUUGUCUGUUCAAGUAAAUAUGGUUCAUAGAUAAUUAAUUGGUUUAGAGUGUUCAAUAGGGAACAUUUUAAGCUGUAGAAUAUGCUUUAAAAUCUUUAUUUUUGGCUUUUAGUUACUCAACCUUAAUUUUUCUUCCAUGUACCAUCUUUAAUUGGUUCUCAUUUUGAUGUUGAAAUGUUUAUCUUCACAUUUAUAUUUUUUACUUAAUCACAAAUGCAAUAAUAAAAGAUUUAUAUUUAACUUUUAAUUUCGAAUUUGAUUCUUAAAAUUUAUUUUAAGGUAACAUUAUAAAAUAUUUCUUGAUUUUUUUUUAGUAUAGGAACCAAAAGCUUUGCAUAAGCAUAAAUUCAUUUUUUAUUAUCUUAGAUCGAAAAAUAAGUAAUAAAUAUAUUUAUUAAAAAUUGAUAUAAAAAUAAAUGAAGUUGUAGCUAAAAUGGUAAAAUAAAUAUGUUGAAUAUUAUUGUGUUUUAGGUACGAACCUCAGCAAGAGUACUUUCAAAAUAAUAAUAAUAAUAUGUUUCAAAUUUCUGUACUUUUCUACGUUGAGAAUAUUAUUGUGAGCGUACUUUUGGAUUUUAUAAUUUAAAUUCAAUUGUGAAUAUUAAUAAAAUUAUUUUGUUAAAUUUGUUAGUAUGAUGUUUGAAAUAAUAAUAAUAAAAUCAUUUAGUUAUUAUGAAUUUGAGUUUAACAAAAGAAUUUUAAUGAUUUAACUGUUGGACUUGUAUUUUUAAAUCUGAAAAAUAGAGGGAUUAAAUUCCUUAAAAUAAAAAAUAAGGAUAUUAAAUUCCAAAUGUACAAAAAGUACGGAGGGUUGGACUAUAUUAUAACCAAUAUACUUUAUAAAAGAAUAAUAUUUUAGUCAUAAUCUAAUUGAGUUAGUAUCCAAUUGACUCAUACACUAAGUAUGAAAGAUUUGAAAAUUUUGAAGCAUAGGAGAAUGUAAAA